GACAGAGGGUGCAAACGUUGUUCGGAAUUACUGGGCGUAAAGCGCGUGUAGGGCUGCUCGGAAAGUCGGAUGUGAAAGCCCUGGGCUCAACCUAGGAAGUGCAUUCGAAACUUCCGAGCUGGAGUGCUGGAGAGGAGGCGGAAUUCUCGGUGUAGAGGUGAAAUUCGUAGAUAUCGAGAGGAACACCCGGUGGGCGGAAAG
RNAcentral lists this ribosomal RNA (201 nucleotides) under uncultured bacterium. RNAcentral's name for it is "partial 16S ribosomal RNA". It matches the Rfam family "Bacterial small subunit ribosomal RNA", at positions 524 to 721 of the family's 1533-position model. The record is from RNAcentral.